ACCAUAUAGUAAGGGAUAACAGUUGGAAACGACUGCUAAUACCAUAUACGCCCUUAGGGGGAAAGAUUUAUCGCUAUAUGAUGAGCCCGCGUAAGAUUAGCUAGUUGGUGAGGUAAUGGCUCACCAAGGCUACGAUCUUUAGCUGGUCUGAGAGGAUGAUCAGCCACACUGGAACUGAGACACGGUCCAGACUCCUACGGGAGGCAGCAGUGGGGAAUAUUGGACAAUGGGCGCAAGCCUGAUCCAGCCAUGCCGCGUGAAUGAUGAAGGCCUUAGGGUUGUAAAGUUCUUUCGCUAUCGAGGAUAAUGACUGUAGAUAGAUAAGAAGCCCCGGCUAACUUCGUGCCAGCAGCCGCGGUAAUACGAAGGGGGCUAGCGUUGUUCGGAAUCACUGGGCGUAAAGCGCGCGUAGGCGGCUAUUCAAGUCAGAGGUGAAAUCCCAGAGCUCAACUUUGGAACUGCCUUUGAAACUGUAUAGCUGGAGUGUUGGAGGGGAUAGCGGAAUUCCUAGUGUAGAGGUGAAAUUCGUAGAUACUAGGAGGAACACCGGUGGCGAAGGCGGCUAUCUGGACAACAACUGACGCUGAGGCGCGAAAGCGUGGGUAUCAAACAGGAUUAGAUACCCUGGUAGUCCACGCUGUAAACGAUGAGUGCUAGCUGUCGGGCCCUUAGGGUUCGGUGGCGCUGCUAACGCAUUAAGCACUCCGCCUGGGGAGUACGGUCGCAAGAUUAAAACUCAAAGGAAUUGACGG
Molecule: ribosomal RNA, 752 nt
Filed under: uncultured bacterium
Lineage: Bacteria
Description: bacterial SSU rRNA
Rfam family: Bacterial small subunit ribosomal RNA
Source: RNAcentral